This 82-nucleotide transfer RNA is filed under the name Candidatus Jacksonbacteria bacterium. Its description in RNAcentral is "tRNA-Leu". It matches the Rfam family "tRNA". Rfam says of the family: Transfer RNA (tRNA) molecules are approximately 80 nucleotides in length. Their secondary structure includes four short double-helical elements and three loops (D, anti-codon, and T loops). The record is from RNAcentral. Lineage: Bacteria; Candidatus Jacksoniibacteriota.
GCUCGGGUGGUGGAACUGGUAUACACGACAGACUUAAAAUCUGUUGCCUCACGGCUUGCGAGUUCGAGUCUCGCCCCGAGCA